GACUCGCUUCCCGGAAUGUUCGGAAUAGCUUCCAGAUGUUCGAGCGGGGGUGCGCUUUAUGGUUCGCUGGGGUAGGCUCACUGUGGGGCUUGCCGAUGUGACGUGUGUUUUUUUUUUAUAUGUAUUUUGUUGUUGCCGCUGCAGAGAAACAAUUAUUUUUUGGGCAAGGAAGAGUGGUGUCUGCCGCUGGAAUUUGGGAAAGUGAGGACCUCGGCUUGAUUCCGAGCCGAGUGGCUGAGUCAAGGCAGUGUGUGCGAAGACUUGGCCGGAGGGUGAACGCAACGCGAAGUCUGGGCGUCCCGCCCAGACUUCGCGUUGCGUUCACCCUCCGGCAGUAGCGACGGAAGGCUGAGCGCGGGAGGAGUUUGGGCUCCCUGGUCCAAGCGCUGCUUUAGGCGCCCAAGUGUGUGUGCGUUCAUGGGUGAGUGAGUGCCUGUGCCGAGGAGCCACGCCGACAGCACCCAAGCGCACAUCGACCUCCCGAGUUCGGUCGGCAUCGCAAGAGGCCGCAUCAACCCCAUCACCCACCGGACUCAGGUCAACCCCCUGGAACACGAGGCAGGCCUUCAGGGCUGCAACAGCCGGCUCCUGCUCCAGAGGAAAAUGAUGAAGCGGAGGAAGCGCGUAAUCAAAAGGUGCAGCCUGUUUGGACAAGCAGCGAUUUCGAGCCCCCUGACACAACAUUGGAUGACAACCACAUGACUUUAGAGGAGGUGGCUGAGCCAUGGGAAUACUUUCGAAGGUCUGACUAAAUAUCACAGUAUGGGAACAGACCAAUCACGAAUCAAGGCGUUGUAUGCCAGUCAUGAG
Long non-coding RNA from Ixodes scapularis (black-legged tick), 810 nucleotides. RefSeq lists it as uncharacterized. The transcript is spliced from 3 exons. The record is from RefSeq and is a predicted model, not a curated record. NCBI's taxonomy places the organism in Eukaryota, Metazoa, Arthropoda, Arachnida, Ixodida, Ixodidae.